GGAAGAUGAGCCUGCUGCUUGAAUUGAAAGAGGCUGAAGCUCCGUCCACAAUAACAACUCAGAGGAAGAGGACAUGGGCCACUUUUGUAGCUUCCUAUAGUGGAUUGAGAACUCCAUGCUCGCCAGAGAGGAAGAAGAGGAAGAUGGAAGUGAUGGAUUCAUCAAGUGAGACCCAAACUGAAGCUCCGUCCACUGAGGCCAAAAUUAAACCUCAGAGGAAAAGGACGUGGGUGACUUUUGUGGCCUUGCACCCUGAGUUAAGAACUCCAUGCUCGCCAGAGGGGAAGAAGAGGAAGAUGAGCCAGUCACAUGAUUCAAAUAAGGCUCCAACUGAUGAGUCUGAGACACAAAAGAAAAGCAAGCUUAUCUUUGACUCCUGUUCAGUGGGUCUCAGUCUCAGUUAAAAACAAAGCAGGUGGUUUUGGUGAAACCUUAAAACUUUUUUUCCCCACAGGGAAGCGCCAGGAAUCUAACCAGGCAUCAUCCAGCGAGGCCAAAAAUCCAGAGAUCAUUGAAAAGAACCCAGACUGCUCAUCUCCAAAGAGGAAAAAAAAAGAAAAAGAUCCUCUCCGGUGACAGUGGCCCAAACCAGACCUCUGAGGAAAAGGAAAGUGUCCGAUUAGAAAUCCAGACUGCAGCUCCUCCACAGAGGAAAAAGAGAGAGAGGAGCCUGGAUUGAGGGUGCACCUUCACGUGCAGUGGCAGGCCACCAGAGCCACGACGGCCGACAGAGGCCGACGGAGGACGACGGAGGACGACGGAGCCAGGACAAAGGAUCAGGACCACAGAUCAACGGUUCAGGGUAAUAUCAGGUCAUUAGGAGGUUGGUAAGUAACGCCUGCACAGGAGACGUCUGUUAUGACUGUCUGUUUGAUAUGCUGCCCAUA
Molecule: long non-coding RNA, 887 nt
Organism: Epinephelus fuscoguttatus (brown-marbled grouper)
Lineage: Eukaryota; Metazoa; Chordata; Actinopteri; Perciformes; Serranidae
Exons: 6
Source: RefSeq, a predicted model, not a curated record